Molecule: long non-coding RNA, 889 nt
Organism: Phascolarctos cinereus (koala)
Lineage: Eukaryota; Metazoa; Chordata; Mammalia; Diprotodontia; Phascolarctidae
Source: RefSeq, a predicted model, not a curated record
AAUUGCUACUCGGAGAAGAAAAGGAGAAAAACCUGGCCACAACCACAUGGCAUAUGCUUCAGGAUGGAAGACAAAGAGCCAAAGAGAAUUUUGUACCUUGGCCUUUUCCCUCAACAUUCUCAAUAACUGCUUCUUCAGAUCAAUGUGUGCUGCAUUUUUGGCUACAGGAAGAAGAGUAUGGAAUUCAGCACCGUCCGGCCUGACAAGCCCCAACUUCCUUAAACAGCAGGAUCUCAUCUUUCCAACUAGACUGUAUGUUCCUGGAGUGCAAGGAAUGUGUUUUGGACAUUUUGCCCAACAACUAACACAACUGCAAUUCCUCCAUACGAUGUAAACUGAAGAGAGUGCAGUGGAUGAUGACUGAGAUUCCUUCUGGCUCUAAAUUAUACAAUUCUGCAAUCCAAGAGGCCAGGCCAUUUGCCAAAUGUGUCACUUCCAUAUUGUUGAGUGACCCUGGACUUACUACUUUAUCUCUGUCCUGAAUUUGCUCAUCUUAAAAUAAGGAAGAAUGAUGUCACCUGUUGCUACCCAACCCACCUGCCCUAGUCUCAUAUCAGGAAUAUAGUAUCAAGUGGAGAUAAUGUCACCAAGGUGCUUAAAAAAAAAAAACACCAACAACAAACCAAAAUGUGUCUAUUAAGAUUAUUAAAUGGCUUGGGACUCUUACAAACAUCUCCUUGUUACAGAAGGCUUUCAAAGUUAAGAAAUUAAUGUGCAAUAUGAAAUGUGAACUCUGGGUUAGCACAAACCUUCCCCAGGUCUAAGUGAGUGAGUGCAUGUGAGUAUUUUAUAACUGUUAGACAACGAGGAUUUUAAAUGAAGGCUCUUCCCAAAGAGAACAUUGCUCUAAUUGGAUUUACACAAAAGUUCCAUGGAUAAGAGAGACUAA